This is a long non-coding RNA of Marmota monax (woodchuck), 1616 nucleotides long. RefSeq lists it as uncharacterized. The transcript has 4 exons. Lineage: Eukaryota; Metazoa; Chordata; Mammalia; Rodentia; Sciuridae. The record is from RefSeq and is a predicted model, not a curated record.
GUGGUAGCUCUCCAAGCCCUCUCCAAAUAUGGAGCAACAACUUUCACAAAAAAGUAAGAUGGCAGUUUCGGUCACUGUCAAAUCUUCUAACACAUUCUCUGAAGAAUUCCACAUAGAUGAUGACAAUCGCCUGCUGCUGCAGGAGGUCAUGCUGUCUGAGAUUCCAGGGGAUUAUGACACCACAGUGUUGGGGUCAGGAUGUGUGUACCUCCAGACUUCACUAAGAUAUAACAUCCUUCCCAAGAAAGAAGGGAAAGUUCCCUUCACUCUGCAUGUUGAUUCUCAUCCCAAAAUUGUGAUGGAGUAGAUGCUCACAGGAAAUUUCAGAUUCAUAUCAACAUUAGGUAAACCCUAAAUCACAACUAGACUUUUUUGUAGAAUAUGAAAACUUUUUUUUCCUUGUAUUGGGGGAACUCUAUUGUCCAAAUUAAUUAUGUAAUGGGUAUGGAAGUCUUGUAAUAUGUAUUUAUAAGAAAAUUGUCUUCACCCUUACUGAAAAGCCUUAACCUUAAUAAUAUAUUGCCAUAACUGAAGAGUAGAGUUGACAAGGGUGGGUUUGUCAAAGAACAAUAACACAGAUACAGUAGAUAGAGAAACUGAGUGGUACAAAUAAACAAGGGGAAACUUCUAUCUUCAAUCAAUUCCAAGGAAUUUUAUUUGAAGGUUUAUCACUCUGCCUUACUUCAUAGUUACACUGGCGAAAGACCCAGAUCCAACAUGGUUAUUGUGGAUUUGAAGAUGAUAUCAGGCUUCAGUGAAAAAGCUUCAAGAACAGCCUGAGAUUCAAAGGACUGAAGUGAGGACCAAUCCUGUCCUAAUCUACCUUAGGAAGCUAACCAAUCAAGCCCUGAGUUUCUCCUUCUUGGUGGAACAAGACAUGCAAGUAAAGAAUUUAAAACCAGCUAUAGUAAAAGCCUAUAAUUAUUAUGAGACAGGUGAGUGAGAUUUACAUAUGCUGAGCUUUAAUACAAAAAACUAACACCGUAAACAGUUGCAUUAACUGAUAUGAAACUCCAAGAUAUUUCACUGGAAGAAAAGGCAAGUUUUGGUCACUAAAAAAUCAUGUCCCUGUAUAUUAAUCUCACAUUUGCUCCCUAAGAAAGUUUUCUUGACACAUGAAAACUCCCUGUGUUUGCAACAAGAGGAAGCAAUUAGUGAUAAAGGCACAUCUUAGCCACUGGACACAUGUGGCCACUUCUACUUCCCAUCUCUUCAGAGGAAGUCUACUCAACCCUCGCAUUCCCCCAUUUGUAAAGAAACCAGAAAGAGCUAAUCAAACAAAUCCUCCACUUGCAUCUCUUGAUAUGUAUGAGGAAGAAAAAUGCAGCAGUGUUCAGGGGAUAUUCACCUGUGUUUUUUCCCCACACUGAUCCCCUCGUUUUGUUGGUUGGUUUGGCUGGUAAGUUGGUAGGUCUCCUAAGAAAUUUUGUCUCCAAAUAAAUCCAGAGCCCAAGCUGUGAACUUCAUUACUCUUUUAUGCCUGAAAGGAGAAGGGUCCAGGAACACUUGAGGGAACUCAUAUUCUAAGCUCAGGUGUCCGUGAAAUCAAUACCUGAAAAAGGAUAAGCCUGGAAUCACUAUGGUUAAAUUAUUGGAAAAUCAAUUCCUGAACCCAG